AGAACACCAGUUAUUACUUAUUAGCUAUAGACAGCAACAUCCAGAUAGAGAUCUUGUUAUAGAAAUGAGUCCAAAUAAGUGAGGAAGAAGAAAAGGUGUAUGCGUGAUUAUUCGGUCAUUUGUUGCAUGUUGUCCCAUACUUCAGUGAACUCACUAAUAAGUGAGAUGGUUUCAUCUAACCUGAUUUCCCUCAUAUCCAGAAGGUGUCUUAUGACUCUUAUCUGAAUUUGUAUGGAUCAAUGGCUCAUAGUGUGAAUAGAGUGCUUACAUGGAACAGGGAACAGGGGAACUUGACAUAAAAGGAAACCAAAUUUUGGUUAUGCAACAGUAACAACUUGAAUGAGAGUGAACAAAGUUGGCAUCAACAAGCUCUUUGUCCCUUUUAAUGUUGUAAUCUUUAUAGUACCGAGUGGGAGACUUCAUAGCUUUUCUGCUUGCUGAUCAGUUGUUAUCCUUUCAUAUGUAGUGCCUAUUUUGUUUCUAUACAUAGAGAUGUUCUUCUAGGCACUUUGCACACUGCACACCCUCAAUUUUAGAUUAUAUAUAGGAUUCAAACAAACAGAUACCGAUGUAAAAGAGGGUUGUUUUCGUGCUCACUUCAUGUAUGUGCCCCGAUAUAUGUGUGUCUGCGGCUGAACUAAAACCCUUUUGUAUAAAUACUAGUACACGGGCACGUGCAACGCACGUGUAGACUAACGAACAUUUUUUUGUCGUCCAUAUUUGAUGUAAAGAUUUCAUACUCAACUUUCAAGUUAGCUAAUGUGUACAAAUGUUUUUUAGUACGUCAUCAAAUAACAAAUGUCAUUUAUCUGAAUUUGCUUUGCACCUGGAACUAAGUAGGGAAGCUGGAAUAUAACCAUAGUGCAAGUAUCCACAAAUUUUGAUUCGGGCUUGUUAGACAUGACAGAACAUCAACACUAAGGGUUAUGUUCUUUUAUAGGGAUAGGGAAACAGGAGUAGAAUAGUAAACGUGCACAUACAAUGCACCUUCGCAAGCAU
Molecule: long non-coding RNA, 999 nt
Filed under: Hordeum vulgare
Lineage: Eukaryota; Viridiplantae; Streptophyta; Magnoliopsida; Poales; Poaceae
Description: long non-coding RNA (HVUL_LNC017542)
Source: RNAcentral